GGACGAUCGACGCGCGCCCGUCAGUGACGACUCACGGCCACGACAGAGUCGAGCGCUGCAGUCUUGACAUAUAUUCAUGUUCUAUUCUUCGAUAAUUAUUAUGUUAAUGACUAUUACACCAAUGCCAGCACGUACUCAGCCGGAAGACGUCCACUGCUGGACAAAGGCCUCUCCCAAGGAUCGCCACGACGACCGGUCCUGCGCUGCCCUCGUCCAACGUAUUCCGGCGAUCUGAUCAGAUCCUCGUUCCAUCUUGCGGGGGACCUACAAACACUGCGUCUUCCGGUACGUGGUCACCAUUCGAGGACUUAUCUGCCCCAUCGUCCAACUGUCCGUCAAACUAUGUACCCUGCCCACUGAUGCACACAUUGGUAAAAUUAGUCAAACAUUAUCGGGUUCAACUUUCAGGUCACCUAUAUGGUAGUCUAUUCUAAGCUUAUGGUAACGAUAUUGCAGACUUAGAUCAUUUAUACGUCUAGGUAUACUAUAACACGCUGUGAAUACGUUAAAAAAUGAGUUUAGAAUUAACCUCUAUUUUGAGCAAUUCACGCAGACUAACACAAGGUGUCAUAAUUUUUCCCUAACGCGCCAAAAUAAGUACUAACUUCAAUAAAUACUUCCUGACAUAGCUAUAUUUUUGGUCUUGAACCGUCUUAGGUUAGGUUAGGUCAGUAUGCAUCAGUUCCAACCCGUAAAUGUCAUCAUGAUUAACGUAUUCAGAUUUCAAAUAAAAGAAUUCCUUUA
Long non-coding RNA from Leptidea sinapis, 744 nucleotides. RefSeq lists it as uncharacterized. Lineage: Eukaryota; Metazoa; Arthropoda; Insecta; Lepidoptera; Pieridae. The transcript has 2 exons. The record is from RefSeq and is a predicted model, not a curated record.